Eucalyptus grandis is the source of this 269-nucleotide long non-coding RNA. RefSeq lists it as uncharacterized. The transcript is spliced from 4 exons. The record is from RefSeq and is a predicted model, not a curated record. Lineage: Eukaryota; Viridiplantae; Streptophyta; Magnoliopsida; Myrtales; Myrtaceae.
UAGAAGGCAGGCGUUGGCUCGCUCUAUUGAACUUCAGAGACGUGAGGCACUUAAGCAUCAUAUUUCAGACUUGCAGGAGCGGAUUGAGCUACUAAAUUACGAACUUGAAGAUAUGAGAGUAAACAACCAAAUUGAUGAAGAAAAACUUUCUAGAUCAUUUAAUGCCGGAUCGACAAUAGAUGACACAUCUGAGGAUGAAGGAGAGGAGGCAUAUCUUAAAGUUUAUGACAGUGGUGUGGAGGACACUUGAAGGAAUUAAGAAGCUUGUU